UACGUAGGGGGCGAGCGUUGUCCGGGAUCAUUGGGCGUAAAGCGCGUGUAGGCGGUCCGGUAAGUCCGCUGUGAAAGUCGGGGGCUCAACCCUCGGAUGCCGGUGGAUACUGUCGGGCUUGAGUACGGAAGAGGCGAGUGGAAUUCCUGGUGUAGCGGUGAAAUGCGCAGAUAUCAGGAGGAACACCAAUUGCGAAGGCAGCUCGCUGGGACGUUACUGACGCUGAGACGCGAAAGCGUGGGGAGCAAACAGG
This 253-nucleotide ribosomal RNA is filed under the name uncultured bacterium. RNAcentral describes it as "partial 16S ribosomal RNA". It matches the Rfam family "Bacterial small subunit ribosomal RNA", at positions 524 to 776 of the family's 1533-position model. The record is from RNAcentral.